Molecule: ribosomal RNA, 239 nt
Filed under: Cadophora sp.
Lineage: Eukaryota; Fungi; Ascomycota; Leotiomycetes; Helotiales; Ploettnerulaceae
Description: partial large subunit ribosomal RNA
Rfam family: Eukaryotic large subunit ribosomal RNA
Source: RNAcentral
ACAGCUCAAAUUUGAAAGCUGGCUCUUUUAGGGUCCGCGUUGUAAUUUGUAGAAGAUGCUUCGGGUGUGGCCCCGGUCUAAGUUCCUUGGAACAGGACGUCAUAGAGGGUGAGAAUCCCGUAUGUGACUGGGUGCUUUCGCUCAUGUGAAGCUCUUUCGACGAGUCGAGUUGUUUGGGAAUGCAGCUCAAAAUGGGUGGUAAAUUUCAUCUAAAGCUAAAUAUUGGCCAGAGACCGAUA